RNAcentral lists this ribosomal RNA (429 nucleotides) under Pseudomonadota bacterium. RNAcentral describes it as "Proteobacteria bacterium partial 16S ribosomal RNA". It matches the Rfam family "Bacterial small subunit ribosomal RNA", at positions 355 to 776 of the family's 1533-position model. The record is from RNAcentral. Lineage: Bacteria; Pseudomonadati; Pseudomonadota.
UGGGGAAUAUUGGACAAUGGGCGAAAGCCUGAUCCAGCCAUGCCGCGUGUGUGAAGAAGGUCUUCGGAUUGUAAAGCACUUUAAGUUGGGAGGAAGGGCAGUAAGCGAAUACCUUGCUGUUUUGACGUUACCGACAGAAUAAGCACCGGCUAACUCUGUGCCAGCAGCCGCGGUAAUACAGAGGGUACAAGCGUUAAUCGGAAUUACUGGGCGUAAAGCGCGCGUAGGUGGUUCGUUAAGUUGAAUGUGAAAGCCCCGGGCUCAACCUGGGAACUGCAUCCAAAACUGGCGGGCUAGAGUAGGGCAGAGGGUGGUGGAAUUUCCUGUGUAGCGGUGAAAUGCGUAGAUAUAGGAAGGAACACCAGUGGCGAAGGCGACCACCUGGGCUCAUACUGACACUGAGGUGCGAAAGCGUGGGGAGCAAACAGG